CACGCGCCUAACGGCGUG
RNAcentral lists this small nuclear RNA (18 nucleotides) under Arabidopsis thaliana (thale cress). RNAcentral's name for it is "snRNA_04668". Lineage: Eukaryota; Viridiplantae; Streptophyta; Magnoliopsida; Brassicales; Brassicaceae. The record is from RNAcentral.